UACCCAUUCGUCUAACGGCAAGACUACUGGCUCUGGACCAGUCAAUCGAGGUUCGAAUCCUUGGUGGGUAGC
Molecule: transfer RNA, 72 nt
Filed under: Streptomyces phage Manuel
Lineage: Duplodnaviria; Heunggongvirae; Uroviricota; Caudoviricetes
Description: tRNA-Gln
Rfam family: tRNA
About the family: Transfer RNA (tRNA) molecules are approximately 80 nucleotides in length. Their secondary structure includes four short double-helical elements and three loops (D, anti-codon, and T loops). Further hydrogen bonds mediate the characteristic L-shaped molecular structure. tRNAs have two regions of fundamental functional importance: the anti-codon, which is responsible for specific mRNA codon recognition, and the 3' end, to which the tRNAs corresponding amino acid is attached (by aminoacyl-tRNA synthetases). tRNAs cope with the degeneracy of the genetic code in two manners: having more than one tRNA (with a specific anti-codon) for a particular amino acid; and 'wobble' base-pairing, i.e. permitting non-standard base-pairing at the 3rd anti-codon position.
Source: RNAcentral